UACGAAGGGGGCGAGCGUUAAUCGGAAUUACUGGGCGUAAAGCGUGCGUAGACGGUUAUGUAAGUCGGGUGUGAAAGCCCCGGGCUCAACCUGGGAAUUGCAUUCGAGACUGCAUAGCUAGGAUGCGGAAGAGGGAAGUGGAAUUUCCGGUGUAGCGGUGAAAUGCGUAGAUAUCGGAAGGAACAUCAGUGGCGAAAGCGACUUCCUGGUCCAGCAUCGACGUUCAGGCACGAAAGCGUGGGGAGCAAACAGG
RNAcentral lists this ribosomal RNA (253 nucleotides) under uncultured bacterium. RNAcentral describes it as "partial 16S ribosomal RNA". It matches the Rfam family "Bacterial small subunit ribosomal RNA", at positions 524 to 776 of the family's 1533-position model. The record is from RNAcentral.